Halichondria panicea is the source of this 1513-nucleotide long non-coding RNA. RefSeq lists it as uncharacterized. The record is from RefSeq and is a predicted model, not a curated record. NCBI's taxonomy places the organism in Eukaryota, Metazoa, Porifera, Demospongiae, Suberitida, Halichondriidae. The transcript has 2 exons.
CGAGCGCCACAUUACAAUAGCACUGCUUACUGUUAGGUCACUUGUUGCUAAGCUACCAGACAUACAAGAAGACUCUGACCAGCAUGUGCUCUGUGUUUCUGUGAAACUUGGUUGUCAAGAAGUCAGUCGUCAGUCUUCACCCACGGUACACAGUAACCAUACAGUAGUAAGAUGUGAUAGACCCACAAAAUUAAUGACCACAAGGGAGGAACCUUGAUUAGUUUUAAUGAUAGGUGCAAUACGUCCACAUUUACGUCCAAUGGUAUUGAAUGUGUAGUAACAACUUUGCUUUAUGAUCAUUACAAAUUACAAGUAGCAGUGUUUAUAGGUCACCAACUGUACCAACAAGACAAUUUAUCCACUUUUUGACUGAUGUACUUAAUCAUAAUAAUUAUGCCUCGAGGCGUAGCCGCACGAGGGAUACUGUGUGUGUGUCUGUCUGUGUGUCUGUUCCAGCUGUAACUGCUCAACAGUUGCAAUGCGACGAAAGCUAACAGUUUCUAUAGGUUUCUAUAGGCUUCUAGCCACGUUCUCUUGGAUUUUGAUUCGUGGAUUAGCAAACUAAAGCUUCUUUCUCGAGUUAUGGCUAGUUUGACUCACAUUGAAGGCUGUUGCAGUCUCUUCAGAAUCUUUCACUGCAUCAUCUGUCCGCACAAACUUUCUAUUCAAUAUAUGAGUUAGCCUUGCACUAAAGCGCUAGCUUUUGUUAGCUACAAUACUCAGAAAAUAUCUGUUAAAACAGCUAGCUAGCAAAUUAUUCCUAUGGAUGUAAUGCGCAUGCGCGCUCAUUCCCCAUGUUGUGAGGAAAUAAUAGUAAUAUCCAAGAUCCAGAUCCUCCUGGCAGAAUCAUCUUUGUCUUGAAGGCCUGAUCCUGGAAGAAUUCUUUCUUGAGGUCCUACUCACUGGUGUUAAGGAUGGCUCAGCCACAUGGUGCACAGGGCAUCAUAUCUUUGUGAUUGUGAUAUAUUAAUGGAUGAAAUUUAGUAGGAAUGUAGUUUUGUACGAAAUGUACACACUUAAAAUGUUUAGAGGUCAUGUGACCUUCAGCGAUGUCGUUACAGUGUGAUUAAGAAGAUAAAAAAGGAGGAUUAAAAACAAGUGUAGCCACACCCCCAAAUUUUUUUAUAAAGUAUAACUCAGUUUUACCAUUUUUGUGGUGCCCGGAUAUGAUGCGUAUCAUUUACAGGUGCACAGAAAUCAGGAAAACUGUCGCAUUUUCUAUUUAAUGCCCUCUACUUAAAUAUGCGUAUUUCAAUUUUCUGCUUCACCGAAAAUGAUAGACAUCAUAUCUGGGCGCCAUAAAAAUGGCAAAACUGAGUUGCACUUCACAAAAAAAUUUGGGGGUGUGGCUGCACUUGUUUGUAUUCCGGAAAUGGUAAAGUUGUAUAUUUCACUGUAGCUCCACCCCUGAAAGUCACAUGACUUUAAAAACACAUUCAACAUGUUCCUAAUUCAUUAUAAUUAUGCUUACAUUAUUGCAAAGUUUCAUCAGUUUAUAUGUAACCAUCCAAAA